CUCUCAUCUUCGCUUGGCUAAGUUAUCCUUUGUGAGAAUCACUUCCUUGUGAACAAACCACCUGAAUAUCUUGAUUCUUAAAAGGACUUUAAUCUUCCUAAUAUGACUUGAUUUUUGAAUUGGUCCGGAGUUUAUUAGGUAUAGAUACAUAGACUUGACAGAAAUAUCCCAUUGAUGGAUAACUUUGAGUGAAUCAUGUCUGGCUCAUCAGAGAGGUGAAUAUCUGUCAACCUUCGCAUGAGAUGUAACCAGCUAUUCCAUCGGUCUCCUACUAGAGACCUUUCGAACUGGAUAUUCAGGGGGACAAUAUGUAAUGUUGUAGACACAUAAGUUUCCUUAUGUUGCACAAUAUUAUAC
RNAcentral lists this long non-coding RNA (357 nucleotides) under Hordeum vulgare. Its description in RNAcentral is "long non-coding RNA (HVUL_LNC017879)". The record is from RNAcentral. Lineage: Eukaryota; Viridiplantae; Streptophyta; Magnoliopsida; Poales; Poaceae.